RNAcentral lists this ribosomal RNA (1407 nucleotides) under Vibrio sp. B7A. RNAcentral's name for it is "bacterial SSU rRNA". It matches the Rfam family "Bacterial small subunit ribosomal RNA". The record is from RNAcentral. Lineage: Bacteria; Pseudomonadati; Pseudomonadota; Gammaproteobacteria; Vibrionales; Vibrionaceae.
UCGAGCGGAACGAGUUGUCUGAACCUUCGGGGGACGAUAACGGCGUCGAGCGGCGGACGGGUGAGUAAUGCCUAGGAAAUUGCCCUGAUGUGGGGGAUAACCAUUGGAAACGAUGGCUAAUACCGCAUGAUGCCUACGGGCCAAAGAGGGGGACCUUCGGGCCUCUCGCGUCAGGAUAUGCCUAGGUGGGAUUAGCUAGUUGGUGAGGUAAGGGCUCACCAAGGCGACGAUCCCUAGCUGGUCUGAGAGGAUGAUCAGCCACACUGGAACUGAGACACGGUCCAGACUCCUACGGGAGGCAGCAGUGGGGAAUAUUGCACAAUGGGCGCAAGCCUGAUGCAGCCAUGCCGCGUGUGUGAAGAAGGCCUUCGGGUUGUAAAGCACUUUCAGUCGUGAGGAAGGCGGUGUAGUUAAUAGCUGCAUUAUUUGACGUUAGCGACAGAAGAAGCACCGGCUAACUCCGUGCCAGCAGCCGCGGUAAUACGGAGGGUGCGAGCGUUAAUCGGAAUUACUGGGCGUAAAGCGCAUGCAGGUGGUUUGUUAAGUCAGAUGUGAAAGCCCGGGGCUCAACCUCGGAAUUGCAUUUGAAACUGGCAGACUAGAGUACUGUAGAGGGGGGUAGAAUUUCAGGUGUAGCGGUGAAAUGCGUAGAGAUCUGAAGGAAUACCGGUGGCGAAGGCGGCCCCCUGGACAGAUACUGACACUCAGAUGCGAAAGCGUGGGGAGCAAACAGGAUUAGAUACCCUGGUAGUCCACGCCGUAAACGAUGUCUACUUGGAGGUUGUGGCCUUGAGCCGUGGCUUUCGGAGCUAACGCGUUAAGUAGACCGCCUGGGGAGUACGGUCGCAAGAUUAAAACUCAAAUGAAUUGACGGGGGCCCGCACAAGCGGUGGAGCAUGUGGUUUAAUUCGAUGCAACGCGAAGAACCUUACCUACUCUUGACAUCCAGAGAACUUUCCAGAGAUGGAUUGGUGCCUUCGGGAACUCUGAGACAGGUGCUGCAUGGCUGUCGUCAGCUCGUGUUGUGAAAUGUUGGGUUAAGUCCCGCAACGAGCGCAACCCUUAUCCUUGUUUGCCAGCGAGUAAUGUCGGGAACUCCAGGGAGACUGCCGGUGAUAAACCGGAGGAAGGUGGGGACGACGUCAAGUCAUCAUGGCCCUUACGAGUAGGGCUACACACGUGCUACAAUGGCGCAUACAGAGGGCGGCCAACUUGCGAAAGUGAGCGAAUCCCAAAAAGUGCGUCGUAGUCCGGAUUGGAGUCUGCAACUCGACUCCAUGAAGUCGGAAUCGCUAGUAAUCGUGGAUCAGAAUGCCACGGUGAAUACGUUCCCGGGCCUUGUACACACCGCCCGUCACACCAUGGGAGUGGGCUGCAAAAGAAGUAGUGUAGUUUAACCUUCGGGGG